Molecule: ribosomal RNA, 738 nt
Filed under: Triticum aestivum (bread wheat)
Lineage: Eukaryota; Viridiplantae; Streptophyta; Magnoliopsida; Poales; Poaceae
Description: partial small subunit ribosomal RNA
Source: RNAcentral
AUGAACGCCUCCUCGGCGCCGGGGUCGGAUGGACUGCCAGUCUCCUUUUUUAAAGCAUUCUGGCAGACCAUCAAACCUGAGAUCAUGGCUCUCUUUGACGAGUUUUUCUUAGGGACCAUGGAUCUUGGGCGCCUGAACUAUGGGGUAGUCACUCUUAUCCCCAAAGUUCCGGGUGCGACGGACAUCCGCCAAUUCCGACCCAUCACUGUGAUCAAUGUGAUUUUUCGGAUCCUGGCCAAAGGGUACGCCAAUAGGGUGACCCGGCUCGCCGACUCGAUCACCCACCCCAAUCAGUCGGCUUUCAUUCAGGGCCGAUUUAUCCUGGAUGGGGUGUUGGUCUUCCACAAGGUCCUUCACGAAGUCCGCUCCAAGCACCAACGGGCGGUAUUCCUGAAGCUUGAUUUCCAUAAAGCCUAUGAAACUGUGCACUGGCCCUUCCUUCGGGAAGUUUUACUCCGUAAGGGCUUUGAUGACCGUUGGGUGACCAGAGUUAUGCAGCUUGUCUCCUGCUGUCGGACCGCUAUUAACAUUAACGGUGAGAUCGGCCCCUUCUUCCCCACACUCUGUGGGGUCCGCCAGGGCGACCCUUUCUCGCCGUUCCUGUUUAACAUGGUGGCCGAUGCCCUCGCGGCCAUUCUUGACAAAGCCAAAUCGGCCGGCCACAUUCACGGCGUGGUCCUACAAGGGGGGGGGGGGCUCCCUCCUACAAUAUGCCGACGACACCAUAAUAAUGGUUGA